This 492-nucleotide ribosomal RNA is filed under the name uncultured bacterium. RNAcentral's name for it is "partial 16S ribosomal RNA". It matches the Rfam family "Bacterial small subunit ribosomal RNA", at positions 29 to 507 of the family's 1533-position model. The record is from RNAcentral.
AGUGAACGCUGGCGGUAGGCCUAACGCAUGCAAGUCGAACGGCAGCACAGUAAGAGCUUGCUCUUACGGGUGGCGAGUGGCGGACGGGUGAGGAAUACAUCGGAAUCUACUUUUUCGUGGGGGAUAACGUAGGGAAACUUACGCUAAUACCGCAUACGACCUACGGGUGAAAGCAGGGGAUCUUCGGACCUUGCGCGAUUGAAUGAGCCGAUGUCGGAUUAGCUAGUUGGCGGGGUAAAGGCCCACCAAGGCGACGAUCCGUAGCUGGUCUGAGAGGAUGAUCAGCCACACUGGAACUGAGACACGGUCCAGACUCCUACGGGAGGCAGCAGUGGGGAAUAUUGGACAAUGGGCGCAAGCCUGAUCCAGCCAUACCGCGCGGGUGAAGAAGGCCUUCGGGUUGUAAAGCCCUUUUGUUGGGAAAGAAAAGCAGCAGGUUAAUACCCCGCUGUUCUGACGGUACCCAAAGAAUAAGCACCGGCUAACUUCGUG